CGACAGAGCUUUUCAAUUCUAUUCGUUACUUCCUACUUCUAUAUUAAUUACACGUGUUUCUGUUACGAAUAAUAAAUUCAGCGUGGAGUUCAUUAAUCCAUAAUGUGUGAUAAUAAGGAAAUCACGCACGACAGAUACAGAAUUUGCCCAGCAAUGUCCAGCCACGCGCCGCGAUCCCGUGUCGACCUCGAUUCCUCGAAAACGUUGACCGACGUUACGUCACCUGGCGGGGCCGGGCGUCGUUUGCAACGCGCAAUUAGUGCGGCCAGCUCGCUUUUUCGCGCUCACGGAGGACCGCGGCCACGUGAGUGCGCCUGCACCUGCCCAGCCUGCUAAUUGACACGAAUAGCGUGGAUUGUUCCUCGAGGACGACGUUCCUCGAGAGCCGAUCGCUCGGGCUAUCCGCUCCGGCGAACGCCACUCGGUUGAACGAGACGAUUCGAGGACGCUGGGGAUUUGUUGUGCGGCAGUUGGUUCAUCGUUCAGGAAUUUAUCGCGCGUCGCGGGUCAAGGAACAUCGACGGCGGUAUUCAACGAACAGGAGUACGUCUUUCUCGAAUUAAGCCUACUCGUUGUUCUGGAUUGAACGGAAUACAUCUUUAAAAACUAGAUAAAAAAAGCAGCGCAAAUAAAUCCAAUUGACGUUAAUGUUAACCGUGAAAUUAUUUGCAAUACACGACGGACAAUAUAAAUUUUCAC
Molecule: long non-coding RNA, 699 nt
Organism: Hylaeus volcanicus
Lineage: Eukaryota; Metazoa; Arthropoda; Insecta; Hymenoptera; Colletidae
Exons: 3
Source: RefSeq, a predicted model, not a curated record